This is a small nucleolar RNA of Pleuronectes platessa (European plaice), 135 nucleotides long. Lineage: Eukaryota; Metazoa; Chordata; Actinopteri; Pleuronectiformes; Pleuronectidae. The record is from RefSeq and is a predicted model, not a curated record.
ACUGAGGUCUAUCCCGACGGACCUUGAACUGUAGGGUCAUGUCGUUGGAAAUACCUCGGAGAGUAAAAUCUGUAGUUUCGCUUUACCCACAUGUUCAAUACCAUGAGCAUGGAGGGAUAUUACUACAGAACACGA